Molecule: long non-coding RNA, 705 nt
Filed under: Mytilus galloprovincialis (Mediterranean mussel)
Lineage: Eukaryota; Metazoa; Mollusca; Bivalvia; Mytilida; Mytilidae
Source: RNAcentral
CCCAUGCCCUUAAAAAUAAGUCCCUGGACUUGUUUUGGGUUAACUAUCCCCUACCCUGUUGCCCUUAAAUACAAGUGUCUGGAGUCUCACUCUCCCUUUCAUCUGACCCCUAGGCUUCUCCUCCAAGACCUCUGAGCUCUUAAAUUCCAGUUCCUGGAUGUUGCCUUAUUCCACCCAAGCUGCUCCAAAGCUCAGUCCCAGGUCAACUAUAUAUAAAGCUGUUGCUAUGUGGGUCGAGGGGAUAAUUAAAGAAAACGAAGAAGAAAACAUCAGCAAGCCAGUAUAACCUUUACCUUUUAUUCUAUCCAUAUUGUGAUUGGGUAUGGUGAUUGGGUAUAGUGAUGGGGUAUAGUGAUUGGGUUUAGUGUGGGUAUAGUGAUGGGGUAUAGUGAUGGGGUAUAGUGAUGGGGUAUAGUGAUUGGGUUUAGUGAUUGGGUAUAGUCAUGUCUAGUUUAUAGGUAAUGUUCUACUGACUUGCUAGUGUUCAAUUUUUAAACAAUUUAAAAAAAAAAGUAAGUAAUGUAUUCAUGUUGCAAUCAGACGCUAUAAUAUUGUUAAAUUCAAGUUGUUGGAAGUCCAAAUCUCAGUGAAACAUUAAAAUUUUCAAACUAAUUUAGUUAUUGUGAGCUAAACUUUGAUAUCUAAAUUUAGGAAAUGGAAUGGUUAUUUAUUCAAAUUUGGAAAAAAUUAACAGUUAUUUAUUUU